AUUGAACGCUGGCGGCAGGCUUAACACAUGCAAGUCGAGCGGGGUGAUGGUGCUUGCACUAUCACUUAGCGGCGGACGGGUGAGUAAUGCUUAGGAAUCUGCCUAUUAGUGGGGGACAACAUCUCGAAAGGGAUGCUAAUACCGCAUACGUCCUACGGGAGAAAGCAGGGGAUCACUUGUGACCUUGCGCUAAUAGAUGAGCCUAAGUCGGAUUAGCUAGUUGGUGGGGUAAAGGCCUACCAAGGCGACGAGCUGUAGGGGGUCUGAGAGGAUGAGCCGCCUAACUGGGACUGGGACACGGCCCAGACUCCUACGGUAGGCAGCAGUGGGGAAUAUUGGACAAUGGGGGGAACCCUGAUCCAGCCAUGCCGCGUGUGUGAAGAAGGCCUUAUGGUUGUAAAGCACUUUAAGCGAGGAGGAGGCUCUUUUGGUUAAUACCCAAGAUGAGUGGACGUUACUCGCAGAAUAAGCACCGGCUAACUCUGUGCCAGCCGCCGCCGUAA
Molecule: ribosomal RNA, 503 nt
Filed under: uncultured bacterium
Lineage: Bacteria
Description: partial 16S ribosomal RNA
Rfam family: Bacterial small subunit ribosomal RNA
Source: RNAcentral